This 790-nucleotide ribosomal RNA is filed under the name uncultured archaeon. RNAcentral describes it as "bacterial SSU rRNA". It matches the Rfam family "Archaeal small subunit ribosomal RNA", at positions 85 to 878 of the family's 1478-position model. The record is from RNAcentral.
ACGGCUCAGUAACACGUAGUCAACAUGCCCAAAGGACGUGGAUAACCUCGGGAAACUGAGGAUAAACCGCGAUAGGUCAUAAGUACUGGAAUGUUUUAUGGCUCAAAUCUACAUGGCCUCUGGAUUGGACUGCGGCCGAUCAGGCUGUUGGUGAGGUAAUGGCCCACCAAACCUGUUACCGGUACGGGCUCUGAGAGGAGGAGCCCGGAGAUGGGCACUGAGACAAGGGCCCAGGCCCUAUGGGGCGCAGCAGGCGCGAAACCUCUGCAAUAGGCGAAAGCUUGACAGGGUUACUCUGAGUGAUUCCCGCUAAGGGAAUCUUUUGGCAUCUCUAAAAACGAUGCAGAAUAAGGGGUGGGCAAGUCUGGUGUCAGCCGCCGCGGUAAUACCAGCACCCCGAGUGGUCGGGACGAUUAUUGGGCCUAAAGCAUCCGUAGCCGGUCUUGCAAGUCUUCCGUUAAAUCCACCUGCUUAACAGAUGGGCUGCGGAAGAUACUACAAGACUAGGAGGCGGGAGAGGCAAGCGGUACUCAGUGGGUAGGGGUAAAAUCCUCUGAUCCAUUGAAGACCACCAGUGGCGAAGGCGGCUUGCCAGAACGCGCUCGACGGUGAGGGAUGAAAGCUGGGGGAGCAAACCGGAUUAGAUACCCGGGUAGUCCCAGCUGUAAACGAUGCAGACUCGGUGAUGGGCCGGCUUCAUGCCGGCUCAGUGCCGCAGGGAAGCCGUUAAGUCUGCCGCCUGGGGAGUACGGUCGCAAGACUGAAACUUAAAGGAAUUGGCGGGGGAGCA